AUGUGGAAUGAUGAGCUUCAAGUUCAUGUGCAUAUGGCUUCCUUCUACGAUAUAUUAGCAACCGUUGUACAUAUUGCUACGGGUAGGGAUUUUGGGCUUGUUUGUAUCUAUGGUGAUCCAUAUCAUAGACAAACUGAUAUGAUUUGGGAUCAAAUUUCUAAUUUUGUGUAUGAUAAUCCUGGCAAGCCUAUAUUAUGUAUGGGAGACCUUAAUGAGCUUUUGUAUGAUAUGGAUAAAAGUAAUGUUAAUGUGAAUCAUGGUCGCUUGCAUGCCUUUCGUGCUUUGAUCAAGAAUUGUGGUUUUUUUGAUUUGGGAUUUUCGGGGCCUGCUUAUAGUUGGACAAAUAGAAGAUUUUCUUCCAAUCCUACUUAUGAAAGGCUUGAUAGAGGAUUAGUUAAUCCUGAUUGGUGUGAUGAGUUUCCCCAUACUAAAGUUCUUAAUCUUCCUAUUAUUCUUAGCGAUCAUGCUCCUAUCUUGAUUACCACUGAAGGUCAACACAAAAAACCUAAGCAAACUUUCAAAUUUGAUAAUUGGUGGUUGAAAGAAAAUGAUUUUCAAUCUUCUGCAAAGAAUGCUUGGGCCUCUAGUACAAACAGAAAUUUUUCUGCUCGUACUAACAAUCUUGCAGGUGCUCUGAAAGUGUGGUGCAAAAAUAAGAAACCUUUACAACAGGAACUCUCCAGCCUAGAAGAACAAAUCAACCGUAUUCAAAUGCAGCCUCUAUCCAUGUAG
This 732-nucleotide ribosomal RNA is filed under the name Triticum aestivum (bread wheat). RNAcentral describes it as "partial small subunit ribosomal RNA". Lineage: Eukaryota; Viridiplantae; Streptophyta; Magnoliopsida; Poales; Poaceae. The record is from RNAcentral.